UAGUCCACGCCGUAAACGAUGAUUACUCGUUGUUGGCAAUACAUCGUCAGCGACUGAGCGAAAGCAUUAAGUAAUCCACCUGGGGAGUACGGUCGCAAGAUUGAAACUCAAAGGAAUUGACGGGGGCCCGCACAAGCGGAGGAACAUGUGGUUUAAUUCGAUGAUACGCGAGGAACCUUACCUGGGCUUAAAUGCAGAACGACGUUCGCCGAAAGGCGUUCUCCCUUCGGGGCGGACUGCAAGGUGCUGCAUGGUUGUCGUCAGCUCGUGCCGUGAGGUGUCGGGUUAAGUCCCAUAACGAGCGCAACCCCUAUCGUUAGUUGCCAGCGGAUAAUGCCGGGGACUCUAACGAGACUGCCACCGUAAGGUGAGAGGAAGGUGGGGAUGACGUCAAAUCAGCACGGCCCUUAUGUCCAGGGCGACACACGUGUUACAAUGGUCAGUACAAUGGGCAGCUACCUGGCGACAGGAUGCUAAUCUCAAAAACUGAUCUUAGUUCGGA
Molecule: ribosomal RNA, 502 nt
Filed under: uncultured bacterium
Lineage: Bacteria
Description: bacterial SSU rRNA
Rfam family: Bacterial small subunit ribosomal RNA
Source: RNAcentral